AGUGAACGCUGGCGGUAGGCCUAACACAUGCAAGUCGAACGGCAGCACAGGAGAGCUUGCUCUCUGGGUGGCGAGUGGCGGACGGGUGAGGAAUACAUCGGAAUCUACUUUUUCGUGGGGGAUAACGUAGGGAAACUUACGCUAAUACCGCAUACGACCUACGGGUGAAAGCAGGGGACCUUCGGGCCUUGCGCGAUUGAAUGAGCCGAUGUCGGAUUAGCUAGUUGGCGGGGUAAAGGCCCACCAAGGCGGCGAUCCGUAGCCAGUCUGAGAGGAUGAUCAGCCACACUGGAAAUGAGACACGGUCCAGACUCCUACGGGAGGCAGCAGUGGGGAAUAUUGGACAAUGGGCGCAAGCCUGAUCCAGCCAUACCGCGUGGGUGAAGAAGGCCUUCGGGUUGUAAAGCCCUUUUGUUGGGAAAGAAAUCCAGCUGGCUAAUACCCGGUUGGGAUGACGGUACCCAAAGAAUAAGCACCGGCUAACUUCGUGCCAGCCGCCGCAGUAA
RNAcentral lists this ribosomal RNA (506 nucleotides) under uncultured bacterium. RNAcentral's name for it is "partial 16S ribosomal RNA". It matches the Rfam family "Bacterial small subunit ribosomal RNA", at positions 29 to 523 of the family's 1533-position model. The record is from RNAcentral.